This 744-nucleotide ribosomal RNA is filed under the name Vreelandella aquamarina. RNAcentral's name for it is "bacterial SSU rRNA". It matches the Rfam family "Bacterial small subunit ribosomal RNA", at positions 56 to 795 of the family's 1533-position model. The record is from RNAcentral. Lineage: Bacteria; Pseudomonadati; Pseudomonadota; Gammaproteobacteria; Oceanospirillales; Halomonadaceae.
UGCAGUCGAGCGGUAACAGAUCCAGCUUGCUGGAUGCUGACGAGCGGCGGACGGGUGAGUAAUGCAUAGGAAUCUGCCCGAUAGUGGGGGAUAACCUGGGGAAACCCAGGCUAAUACCGCAUACGUCCUACGGGAGAAAGGGGGCUUCGGCUCCCGCUAUCGGAUGAGCCUAUGUCGGAUUAGCUAGUUGGUGAGGUAACGGCUCACCAAGGCCACGAUCCGUAGCUGGUCUGAGAGGAUGAUCAGCCACAUCGGGACUGAGACACGGCCCGAACUCCUACGGGAGGCAGCAGUGGGGAAUAUUGGACAAUGGGGGGAACCCUGAUCCAGCCAUGCCGCGUGUGUGAAGAAGGCCCUCGGGUUGUAAAGCACUUUCAGCGAGGAAGAACGCCUAGCGGUUAAUACCCGCUAGGAAAGACAUCACUCGCAGAAGAAGCACCGGCUAACUCCGUGCCAGCAGCCGCGGUAAUACGGAGGGUGCAAGCGUUAAUCGGAAUUACUGGGCGUAAAGCGCGCGUAGGUGGCUUGAUAAGCCGGUUGUGAAAGCCCCGGGCUCAACCUGGGAACGGCAUCCGGAACUGUCAAGCUAGAGUGCAGGAGAGGACGGUAGAAUUCCCGGUGUAGCGGUGAAAUGCGUAGAGAUCGGGAGGAAUACCAGUGGCGAAAGCGGGCCUUCUGGACUGACACUGACACUGAGGUGCGAAAGCGUGGGUAGCAAACAGGAUUAGAUACGCCUGGCUAGUC